UUUUUUUUUGAAGUGUUAUGUUUUUUUGAUAAUUUUGAAGGUGAUUAUUGCAUUGGCAACGGGUGCAGCAGGGUCAUCAACAGCCAUAGUGUAUUUGGCUCACAAUGGAAACCAAGAUGCAAAUUGGUUAGCAAUUUGCCAACAAUUUGGUGAUUUCUGCCAAAGGGCCAGUGGAGCCGUGGUGGCCUCCUUUGUCACGGUGGUGCUCUUGAUCCUCAUGGUGGUUCUCUCUGCUUUCGCUCUUCGAAGACACUAAGGUCGAGUUCGUUUUUAUGGAAAAAGAAAAAAAGUAUUCGCUACUACUUACAACACCUUCAUUCACUCGUUUCAUUGUAUAUUGGAAAAAUAAUUAGUGUUAUAUUGGAUUUGAAAUGUUAUGUGUUUCUUUUGUUUUGUUAAGGUGUGGAUGUUGUGUUUCUGUCUUUAUUAAAAAGGGGGAAUUUGGGAAGUCUUGUAAAUCAUAAUUGGUAAAUUCAGGGAAUCUAUAUUGCAAAUUAUGCUGUAAUUUUCAUAGUGAACUUUAUAUGUUGUACUUUUCAAUUUUCAUCCAUGUAUUAUGACUAUAUAUAUUUCAAUAUUCAUCUAUGUAUUCUCCGUAUUUUAACUUUCAUUAAGAGUAAAAUAUAUAUUUUAAGUAUUUCGAUUUUUGAGUUUAUUAUUUGAAUUAUUAGAUGUAUGAGUUUUUUAUCUGAAUUAUCACCAAAUAUUUGUAGAAACACACCAAACAAUGGUGAUGUUUCACGUAGAUAAAGUGAACAACUAAUAGUUGAAGCGUAUUUUGAUAAAUUUGGUGAUAGAUGAUUAAAAAUAGCAAGUAAAUAUAUAGUAUAUGUGUAUAAUCAUGUAUAAGUAAUAUAUAAUUUAUGUAUAUCUAUCUAUUUGAAAAAAGUAAAUAGUAAGUUCGACCGGCUAUUUAUGUAAAGAGGCCGUAAGUCCAAAUUCUCAAAUAGAAAAUUCAAGCCCAAAAUUUAAUUACUUCAAAGUCCAUCUCAUUCUUCACUUUGACAUUCAGCUUUCACUCUCUCUCUCUACGCAGCACAACAAUGGCUGCCUUGAGAAAAUUAUUAUUACCUAAAAAUACAAGUGUUGUAAUAUCAAACUCAGCAAUUUUCCUUUCUCGAAGAGGCAUAGCUUCUAAGCUAUUUGUUGGAGGUAUUUUUCCUUUUUUUUUUUUUUUUUAAAAUACAUGUAUAGACGAUUGUUUUUUAGAAAUUCAUAUGAAAGAGUUCAUUCUUGUAAUGAAUUUGUAAUUAUUUGAUUAAAAAAUGAUAUUUUUUUUGGGUUUACUUUGCCUCUAUAGUGCUGUUGACUAGGUAUUUAUGCUUUGCAAUUGGGUUUAUGAAGGGUUUAUGGGUCUGUUAUUGAAUAACGUAGUAAUAAAGAAGGGUUGUAUGCAGAUGAAUUGAAUUAUUUGUGUACUUUGAUUAUCAUAUUGUUUUGUUGCCAUGUUACUCUUUUCUGACCUGCUUUGAAAUGUUUUGCCUUGAGCAAAAGGUCUAUCGGAAAUAGCUAAGGAUAAGGUCUGCGUAUACUUUACCAUGGACCCCACUUGUGGAAUUAGGCGGGGUUUCUUGUAGUAGUUGUGAAAACUCUUGCAAAGAGGUAUGUUGGAUCCUCUUGGAGUAUUUAUUUAGAUGGAGAAUGAUUCUCCUCUGGCAAUCAAAAGAGGAGAAAAGAACCGAAACAUAGGAGCUAAUCUUAAAUCACCUACUCGAUUGACAAGCAGAAAUUUUCUUCCUAGUGUAUUUGCGUCGAGUGUAACUGCGUAAGCGAGAAGUGAAAUAACAAGUAUGAAGCAAGAGUUACUUCCGUCAUUAGUUAUAAAAUAUGUUGGUUAGUUGGAAGGACAAUCGUUUAAUUUUUGCAUCCAAGGUAUGGCCUAGUAGUGAGUAAAGUGGGUUGAGAACCACGAGGUCUCCGGUUUCAAUUCCUCGGAGGCUAAAACACUAGGUUAUUUCUUUCCACCAAGCUUUCAUAGACAGAGUUACCCGAUACCUUUGUUGGUGGGAGGUAGCAAGUAUUCCAUGAAGUUAGUCAAGGACCCAAGGUGCCCAUAAGCUAGUCUAAAAUCCCAUAGUUCAAAACAAAAAUAGGAUGGAUAGUCAGAGUACGCUGUGGAAAGGGGACUUGAAGGAAGAUUAGGACAAGAUCACACUGCUUUGGGUUUAAAACAAUCAGUCUUUUUCUCAUUUUAGGUCUAAAGGCAACCUUGAAAAACCUUUCUGAUAUUGCCUAAUUACAAUACAAAAUAUAUUCGAGAAGCUAUACAGUGAAAUUCAAUUUCAUUUUUUUAAAACAUAUUCUCUACUCUUUUGAGUAGAAAUGUAAACAAGCAUGAUCAAUAUCCUAAUUAGCAUAAGUAUCUGGAAAAGGAUGGACGAAAAGCAUUUGCAAUAGCUGAAACGAAGAUUCAGGGGUCCUUCUGUAAAAAAUAUCAUGGAACUUACUCCGCAUAUGAUUAGGACAUAGGUAAUAGAUAUUAGAUACUAUAGGCAGGCGUUUGGUUGCAAGAAAAGAGUCUAACCUCGUUAACUUCAAUUUAAAUGGCCAUUUAUCUUUCCAUUUAGAACUCUAGUUCUUUCAUCUGGUUGGUUUUUACCUGAAAUGGGGAACAACAUGGGGGAUAUAUGAUAGCUUCGGUUAGCAGUGCACUGUUUUCUGUAUUAGCUCUCACCUUUCAAAAUUCCUACUACUACAAUUUCCUCCGUUACGAUCUGACUUAUUAUAGUCCUGUUUUAGUCGAUCUAUUUAGUGGUUGGCACUUGGCUAACUGAGUUUUUACAAUGCAUCUAUAUCGCAGCCCCCAAAGAACCUCUAACGUAGCUUCUACAGAUAUUAUGACAUGACAAAUAAAGAGCAAUAUCAAUAAAUCUUCAAAAACUUUCUAUAUGUCUAGAGCAGCUUACUCAAUUUAGCACAACAUAGAUAAAUCAUCUUUAAUUAUCUUGAUAUCACAAAGAAGCUUUUUCCAAUUUGUUCCGUCGCAAUUUAUGUGACAAUCUUUCCUUUUUAGUCAGUCCCAUAAAAAUGACAUCUUUCUAUAUUUGGUCCAACAAAUUAACUUUUAACUUUCUUUUCACUUUAUCCUUAAUGAGAUGAUUCAUAGCCACACAAAUAUUUACGACUUAUUUUUAGACCAUAAGUUUCAAAGUCUUCCUUUCAUUCUUAAAACAACAAUGAUUUGUCUAGCUAUGAUUGUGUGGCCUUAAACAACUAUUACAGAGUUGAUCUUGAUUAGUUCCUCCACAUAGUCAAAUGGCUUAUUUAGAAAAUUAUCUAAGUUGUCAAGAUCUUAACUUUAACUGCAGACAAACACCUUACCAGUUGAAGAACUCCGCUACACUUGCCAUUUAUCAGUAUUUGAGGAUAGCAUGUACUUUCCAUGUGUUCAAGAUUUUAUACUUUAAUUACUUUCAGGAAACACAGGAAGAAUCACUGGUUUGCACUUUACAGUGUGGUUUCCCUAAUUGUGUUGGAACGAUGUUGUGAACAGCUUAUAUUCUUGUACUGCGAAACUGGAGAUAUAUGUUUCAUUCCUUUCAGAAAUAACCAAUCAACAGAAACAAGUUGUUGCCAAAAGGCUGACCAUCUCAUCCUAUUUAGAAGUCUAAAGGAGUACUCGUUACCCACUGCUCUGCCAUCGGAAAGAGAAAUGAACAAUAUAAAGAUCAUUGUCCACUUUAACCCAAAAAAAAGAAGAAGAUCAUAAUCGAAAGAAACAAACUUAUGAGAUAUUGUUAUUUCAGGCCUCUCAUUUUACACCACAGAGAAGGCACUGUCAGAGGCAUUUUCUCAACAUGGUCAAGUUAUUGAAGGUGAACAAAUAAACAUAUGUUGAGUUCUCUUUUAGAUAUAGUAGGACUUCACGUCUUUAGUUUAACCUUGUUUUAUUUACCAGCUAAAAUUGUGACGGAUAGAGUCUCAGACAGAUCCAAGGGUUUUGGAUUUGUCACCUAUGCAUCUGAAGAUGAAGCGGAGAAAGCCUUGCAAGAAAUGAACGGCAAGGUACGUCCAUAUUAUCGCUGUAUCUGUUUUUGAUGUGUACUAUUAUGUUCAUUAUUGUUCAAUUAUGCAUGUCGAAUGAUGCAGCCUCUUAAUGGACGAGUUGUCUUUGUGGACUACGCAAAGCCUAAAACUGAUGGUGGCGGCAUGCCAAUAGCCCGAGGUCCCCCUGAGCCACCAGUAGAACAAUGAAAGUUACCAAACAGACCACUCUGACUGUGUGCUGCUAGAGUUGCAAGCCUUGCUCUUGCAAAAUGAUUAAUCUGGAGAGCGUCGUUUCUCGUUUGGCCGGCAACCAAGAACUAUUCGAAUAUAUUGUAAGUCACCACUAGUCAAAAGAAGUUAGUUGUUUUUCAAAUAUGAGUGAAAAAUUUAUGUUACUGCAAUUGUAAUGACUGCAAGAUUGGCUCAAAUAUGAAAAUUAUCUGUCAUUAAUCUAUGCCAUUAUGUCAUACUCUACUAUUAGAACAAAAUAUAUGGAAAUCUUGCAGUAGUUAAUUUGCCACUAAUCUAUUCUCCCUUGAAUUUACUUUUUUUUUUUUUUUUUGCGAGGGUCAGUGGGUGGUUUGGGUGGGUAGGUGGAAGGCAUUAACUCAUAUUAUAUAAUUAUAAAUACACUUUUUAAAUUAAAAAGUCAUCCUUACGUUUCGGAAAAAAAAAAAGAAUAGCCUACUUUUGACUCCAACAAAAUUCCAUGUGAACUUGUGAAGGCUGAAAUGUACUGUUCUCUAAAAGAGGAAGUUGAAAGGGCAUCUAUUUACAAGUUUCGUGCAGGCAAGGAAAUUGAAAUAUUUUUCUUGAACGGAGGUCUAUCGAGAGGUAAGGUCCGCAUCCACUCUAGCUAUGCAGGCAAGGAACAAAUUUGGUGAUGAAAGGAUAGUUCCAGUGCACAAAGCAUCUCAGUUUCGGAGAAGGUUACGUUGUGAUGUAGGUAGCUUAUCCUACCAAAUACAAGCAUUAGUUACUGCUUUCAUGACUUAAAUUUGUGACCUAUUUAAUAAAUAACUCGAAGAUAAAGAUAAUUUUAUUUAAUCUUUUAACCUUCGGGGUGGCCCAGUGGUUUGAGCUUGGGACUUCCAUGUUGGAGGUCUCAAGUUCGAAACCCCUUGCCAGCGAAAGCAAGGGGUUUGCCUUCUGGGUCGAGCUCGUCGCACCAGGCUUGCCUAGUGCGGUUUACCUCUCCUAUGUGGUUUGCGAGCUAUUGCAUAGGAGCGGGGGCUUUACCCUGUGCGCACCCAAAGGGUAGCGGUUGCGGGUUUUCCUUGACAUCAAAAAAAGAUAAAGAUAAUUUUAUCGUUUCUCUAAGACUAUACAUUAAUGUGAUUGUAGAGCUGCAUUAACUCAUGAAUUAGGUGGUGAACUUUGAACUUUCAUAAUGUAACAUCGUUCUAGUUGUCCAACAUUAUUUAAUUGUAAUAGAGAAAUAAUGUUGUGUUGUAUUGUUUUCAUCGAAGUGAGAAAGACAUGUCCAUAAAUAUCUACUUACUAUAGAGCAUUUGAUAGAACUGUGCUUAUGAUUAAUGGGUGUCAAAAUUUUAAUAUCUCCCACCUUAAAAAUAAAAAGAAAGGAUGAGCUAUAUCUUUAUAAAAUAUACUCCCACUGUGCUAAGAUAGUAUUUGAUUGGAAAUGAAAUUCAAGAUAAAAAGAAAUUUUAAAAAAAAAUUACGAUUCAAAAUAAGUCAUAGACAUUUGUACGAUUAUAAUUCAUCUCACCAAUGGAAUGUGAAAUUUAAAAUUAUAUCGUUUAUAAAUAAGAAAAUUCGACCUUUUAUGAAACAAAGUAAAAAAGAUCACACCCUUUGGGUGCAAUUCUUUCUCGAUCCCUACUAACACGAUAUCUUUUGUGCACCAGACUAUUCUAUUUUCUCUCUCUUUUAUCUCAUUAUAAAUAUAUGAUAUAUACCCUUAAAUGAUAAUUACAAGUAUUUUUGUAAAUUAUAUAAAAUAUAUAUUUUUUUAUUUUUCUCUUUUUUUAUCUACUCAAACAAAAUAGAAAACACCAAAAAGCCACAAAAAUUGAUAUCCCAAAUGCAACACAUAAGCUAUCUAAUGUCCCUUCUCUCCUCAACUUCUUCUCUUUUCUUUCCCUUCUCAUUUCCAAAAACUCUUUAUACCUCUUCCUCCCUAUUUCACCUCUAUUAGCUCCAUUUCCCCUUUUACCCUCCAAUACCUUUUGUAAAAUUACCAAACUCUCCCUCCCAUUCAAAUGAGUUCCAUCCAUGUCCUCCACUCCCAAACUCACUUCCCUCACCUGCAUUUCUCCUACCUCAGAUCCACCGCACGUGACCACUAUCUCACACUGCACGUGACCUCUCUUUUGAUCAACGGUCAGGAUUGAAGUAAAACGUACCUGCACUUCACCGGUUAACCAGUGCCGUUGUACGGAAACAGACUUGAAGGAGGAGAGGUUUAUCGAUCGCCGGCCGAUCGGAUCAAUCAGAAUCCAACUCAACGUCAUGUGUUCAAUCAGAUCCGUACACGUGUCGUCGUCGCUCGGGUGUUUGAUUGGCGUUGAAAUCACCUCCUUUGGAUCUAUCAUGUCGAUUCUGAACGGCGAGGAUUGGAACCAACUCGACGUCGUUUCAGUCUCUUGUACGUUACUGAAAAUCGCUUUGUUUUUGUAGUGUAUAUCGACGGCCGAUAUUAAUUCCGGCGGUGAAGAUGAACGGUUUGCAAUUGAAUUUGUCUGUUGAAUAAUCCACUGUUUCCGAUUCCGAUCAAACAAACACACGGAGAAAAAAUUCGAAAGGAUUAUAUAGAUUGUAGAUCUCAGCGACGUCAAACUCACUGACUCUAAAUCGUGAAUUUGCUUAUUCUCGGAGGAAGGGAGAGAGAAGGACUGAGAGAAGAAGGUACGGUGACCGGCGUCGGGGAAGGUGGAGAUGACGUGGCUGAUACGAGGAGUGGCGGUAGACGGCCAAGUGGAGUGGCAUGCCCGUGACCAUAGGUGGUUUUCUGAUGAAAGGCGGUGGAGAGUGGCAGAGGAACAGCUGGUGGAAGCUAGAGUUGGUCCGUCGAGUCGAGUGAGGAUAUGAGCUUCGAUGAUAUACGGAUGCAAAUCGGGAAAACCGGUUGCGCCGCCGUCUUCCGCCGUGACGGUGGUGGUGGUGGUGAUUGGUGGGCUAUGGAGUGAGGAAGUCAUUUGAGGAGUGUGAAAUUUUGGCUUAUUGGGAGUUUGAACUUUGAAGUUGUGUUGUAUUUAUAGGUGCCUGCAAAGGGAAAUGGAAAGGGAAAAAUUUGGGGAAAAUGCCCUUUGUGUUUUCAAUAAUUACGGAAACUUAGUUAGUCGCUGCCACUGCGUGGACUCGUGAAUAUACGAAUUUUAAUCCUAAUAUAUCAUAGUUUCUUUAUUUAAUGUAUCACAUAAUCUGUUGUUUUAUGAAGUAAAUUAGUUAGGAGUUUUAAACUAUACGUCCCAUCAUAUAUACUUUACAUAAACUAAAAUAUCAAUAAUAACAAUAUAUUUAAUAUAAUUCAACAAGUGAAAUUUGAGUAAAGUUACGAGUAUGUAAUCUUACGAAGAUAAAUACGUUUCUAAUAUGACCUCGAAUUAAAUAAAACAUAACAAACUUUAUGUAUGAAAAGAAAAUAUAAUAAUAAAAAAGUCAUAACAAUAAUAAACUAAACAAAUAUCGACGUUCAAAUUUUAAUUAAUUACUUGACUCUUAAAUAUAGCUUUCGUGGGUGGUCCUGAAAUAGAAGCCAAUGGAGGGGGAAUUACGUACAUGAUCUUAAUAAAAUAAUAAUAGAAGUACAUGCAGGAGUCCACAAUAAUAUUGUUAAUUGCCGGUGUUUUAACGCUAGCCUUGUGUUUACUUUCUUAAUUUUAUCCUAAAAAAAAUAUGAUUUGAAUGAAUACAUAUAAACCUUAUAACACGUAUUAUUAUUUUCGUUUUAAUUUGUUUGAUCUAUUUUUUUUGUUAUAAUUCAUUUGAAAAGUCUAAGAGUAAAAAAUUAGAUCAAGCAUAUUGAAAUAAAAAAAUAAUAAUACGUAUUAUAGAAUUUAUAUAUAUUUGUUCAAAUCAUAAUUUAUUAUUUAUAUAUCGAUCACCAAAAAGUCUACAUCAUUAUUUGUCAUGUAUUCUACUAUUGUACUAACCCUUUUUUUUUUAAUGCAUUACUUGUGUAACCCACUUUCUUUUCUCUUAAAAAAAAUGAAAGAAGGAAGAAUUAUUAUGUACUCUUUCUGUUCCAUUUCAUAUAAAUUACUUUGACUUAACAUAAAGCUUAUGAUAACAAAUAAGAUUUUUGAAAUUUGUGGUUUAAAAAUAAAUAAUAGAUGUUUGUGUGGCUAUAAAUCAUUUCAUUAAGUGUAAAAUGAACAUUUUAAAGUUAAAUUAUUACUUAAUAUAAAUAUAUAUCAUUUUUUUUGUACUGACUAAAAAGAAAAAUAAAUCAUAUAAAUCGAGACAAAGGGAGUAAUAUUUUUUGUCUCAAUUUAUGUGGUAUAGUUCAAAUUUUGACCGUGAAUUUAGACAUAAAAUCUUUAAAUUUUUUGAAAUAAAAUUUACAUAUUUGGAAACUACAUAAAAAGUAUUUUUAUAUCAUGAUAAAUGACAAUUCAAAAUAUUAAAAAAUAUAUGAAAAACUACUAUUAAAGAAAAACUCAUUUGAAUUUCCAAAUUCAUAAAGUACUACAUAAAUUAAGACGGAGAAGUAAUGUGUUACUAUAAGUACACGUUUAAAAUUCGAACUUUGCAUCAAGGAAACUAACUUUAAUAUUUAAGAAGAGUUUAGAGAAGUAUAAAAAACGAGCUUAUCGUCUUUGAGUUUCAAAGGCUGAGUUGAUAAAAAAAAUUUAGCUACAGAUAAAUUUUUCGAUCAUAAAAAAAUAAAAGAAAAAUAGUCAAAUUAGAAGUCGUUUUCGACGUGCAUCACACUGUAAAAAAAUAUAAUUGGGUUUCUUAGUGGUUUGACUAAUUGAACUCUUUAUUGGAUCUUUUUUGUGAUAUUUUAAGUUAUGAACCCCUGUUGGUUCAAGUAUUUAUCUAUGACUUCAUAUUUCAACUUGGCAAAUUGUUAUAACUUAUAUUAGAAUAAAAAAAAUAAAGGUAUUAUGAAUUCUUUACUUUUAAGGUCAAUGGGUGCUUGUAUAACUGUUUUUUAGUAAUCAUGUGUUCAAAAUAGUAAUCUCAAAAAUUGAGAAAGUAAUGUUAACUUAACUUUUUGAGCCCACAAAUAUCAUUGUGUGUCCUUAGGUAUUUGAUGCAUUGAAUUAUUUUUUCUCAAAGAUAAAAUAUAUAUGCUUGUUAUUAAAAUAGUGAUAUCUUAAACGUUAAUAGUUUUACUGAACUUGAAGACAUGAGUAACAAAUCACAUAAAAAUUCGAUAUUUGUUUAUAAGAAAGUAUGUAGAAAAAGUUCAGAAAAUUGAUUCCGAAAAUUUAAGCUAUUUCUCUGAAUUUAUAGCUAACGAAGGAUAAGGUGAAUUACAUGUACUAUUAUGUCUUAAUGAAAGAGUCACAAUCUAUUCAAAAUAAAAUUAAAAUUAAAUUCAUAGGUUAAUUUAUAGUCGUCUAAUAUAUGUUGUUUACUAGUCAUGAAGCAAAAUUUUCAAAUAAUAACUUAUUUAUCCAUUCUUUUCAGAUUUUUAUGGGUAAAAAAUAUUAAAAAUAAAUUUGUAGGAUAUAAAAUUAAGUACAAAAUACAAUAUAACUAUGUCAGUCUUCGUUUUGGUCCCGCUUUCUCCUAUCUUAUAUUAAUCUAGUGGAGAAUUAAAUUUAAAGUUUGAUUAUUCACCAAUGACAUCUUUGGUACUUAAAUCUAAAAAAAAUUGCAGCAUGAGACAAAGUAUUUUUGUGUAUUAAGUUGUUCACAAGGGUCAACUUGAUUUCAAUCUUCGAAAAGCCACUGAUUUCAACUAUCGUUUAUGUAUGAUUCAUACUAAAUUUGACCAACUGUAAUUUUGUAUUAGAAUUUGUUUUAGCGAAGUAGUUUAUGUAUCACCUCCUUUAAUAUGUACAACUACAUGUAUCUAUUUAUUUAAAUAAUUUUAUAUUUAAAGUUAUCUCUGAGUUACUAGAAGGUAAUUAGACUACAAAUCUCCUUACAAAUCAAGCUCAGGAGUAAAAAGUAACAAAUGAAUGGGUUGGAUUAAAUUUGAAUGGAUCAAAAUUAACCGAAUUAAUCUUAACAUAACUUAUUCUUCCUUUCAUUAUUUCUCUAUAGAUACUCCUCAAAGGGACUCUAUUCAAUUUAUAAACGACCAUAAUAUAUCACUUUUUCCUUAAUAUCUAUCUUGAUUGAAUUUUUACAAAGGAAAUUUUGAAUGUCUUGUGCUUCUCCAAUUGGGGCAUUAUGUGUUUGGCAAUAGCAUUAAGUUUGAAUUAGAGCCCGGUUGGAUUGGCUUAAAAAAAUAGAUUUCAAGUCAAAAAUAAAAAGUUAAACUUAAAUGACUUUUAUAAAUCUUUAAGGUUAUGAUUUCUUAAAUUUUUUCUUGUUAAAAUUCUUAUAAAUAUAAUUUAAUUGAAUUAAUUGAUUAUUCUUUGAAUUACCAUGAUGUUUCACCUUAUUUAAAUAAAAUAAGGAUGUAAAUAGUAUCUACGUUUAGUUUUAAAGUAUUUUUUAGUCUCAUAGUCCACUAAUGUAUUAUAAGGAUGUUCAAAUUAAUUCAUAAAAAAAUGUAUCAAAAUAUUUUCAAAUACAUUUUAUUUAUUUAAUAUGUUGCAUACGAUCUACAGGCAUAAUAAAAAUAAUUUUAUUAAAUACCAAAAAUUAUAAAUUGAAGACCAUUAAUUACUGGGUGAUUGUGAAGAUGGACCUUGAUUAGAAUUAUUAAAAUAUCAUAAUUUUGAAUUUUUACUCUUUUAAGUUAAAAAUUGCUUGAUCUCUUGUGAAACGGAGCGCCGAUAAAUAUAAAAUAUUUAUCAAAAUUUACACUGGCAGUAGGAAUAAUAUAAUUAUAGAUUUCUAUAGUUCACAUUUUCAUUAUAUUUGUCACUUCACCAGAUUUGAAUGAACGAAGGUGAGGCCCCAGUAUCCAUCUUUCCCCAAUCUCUUUUGGCGGAGCUGCUUCACUACGGGUAAGUUAUCGGUAAUAAUUAUGCACAUUAUUGUAAAAAAAUUGGGUUAGUGGAACGAGAAAUAGAGUAGGGGGAUUACAAGCUGCGAAAUCAUAUCUUAAGGUGAAAAUUCAGGUAGUUAAUCAACUGAGCAACUGAGAUUUACCUCUAAUUGUGCAUGUUGGAAUAAGAAUUGUGUACAGUUUAUUUGUGAUGACAAUGUGUUUGAUGAUUUGCCUGAAAGAGAAGAUACACAAACAUGAACUAAAUGUGAUAUUUUUGGAAUGAAGUGUUGUGCACUGGAUGUAUUUUGUAUACAUGAUUGAACUUGCAACAAAGCUGAUCUGUUUGUAGUUCCAUAGGCAUUCUGUUUUAACAGAGAAGUGUGUGUAAUUAUUUCCUUCAUUGGUAGAUUGUUAACAUCAAACAAUUUAUUUAUAAGUCUCAUAAAUGACUUUAGGAUGUUAGAAUUGAUUUCGUGAUGAACGUAGGAAGACGGUUUGAUCAAGGAGACAUAUUUUGAUUCAUCGUGAUUUUUCAAUGACAGUUAAACUAAAUUUCUCAUUCUUGCACCCUUUCUUCUGUUUUAUUUCUUAUGGAAACUAACUAGUUCUUUGGUUAGCGAGAGAACUAGUUACUGUAGAUUGUUUAUUUCUUACGUUGCAACCUGUAAACGGUUAUUCACGUGUGUAUGUGUGUUGUUUGGUCAUGUACUAACUCUGAGUUUACGCAUUACAUGUAAUGGUACUUCAGGACUCAAAAUGAAGGUGAAGGUAGUUUGGAGGAAAGUAUCUGAUUAUGUUCGAUACGAUCUGAAGGAGAUUGCUUUUCCUUCAUCUUUACCGGACCCUCCUCACUUCAAAAAACGUAGGAAACUAACUUUGAAGGAGCGCUAUCUUGUGAGUGUUUGCUUUAUUUUUCUUUCUGCUAAAAUCUUUUGGUAAUGAAUUUUUAUGAUGCAUUUAUCAGUAAUUACUGUCUAAUCUUGGUAGUAUUGAUUCAGGUGCUUAAGGAAGCGUCUAGGCUUUAUGCUGCAAGCUGGGUGAGGGACAUUGGUCCUGAACUUCGGCCCAAUGAUUACAAAAAGAAGCGUGAGAUUGAAGGCGAGUUGGAUGGAGGGAAUGGAAACGGAAAAGAGAAGGAGCCCUCAACAUUGGAGGAUUUAGGUAAAAUAUCUUACUAGUUGUCUUUCAUGUAUGAUUGCUUUUUUUCAAUUAAAUACACGGAAACUUUAGAUAUGCUGGAUCAAUAGAGGUACUUUUUGACUCAAAAUAUUGUAAACGAUAUGUCCGUAUAUACAUUCUUCCUACUUCUUUCUGGUUUGAAUGGUGUGAGUCAGUGAUAUUAAAAGCAAAAAGUGCAAAAAAGUGACAAGGUCUAUAGGGCUUGAAGUGAAAAGUGAAGCGCAUGUUUCCUUAAAUGAAGCACACAGUUGUUGUUUGCGAUUAUAGUUAUAGUUUCUUGCUUUACAUAUAUGAUUAUUUGAUUUGUCUUUCGUUCCAGUGUUAUCGUUUGUCCUGUAUGUUGAUUUCAUUACUGAAUUUCAGCUAGUCACUUUUUUUUCUUGACCGUCCACAUAGUCUUCUUGGAUGGAAUUAUAAGUAGGGUGUGUAAGCAGUCAUGAAUAAGUGUAUUCUAUUUUGAUCCUUUUAAAUUUUAACCUAAUCUCUGAGGUCCUAGUUCUUGAAACUCAGAAUGAGAUAUGAUUAUAUGCUCCACAAAUCACAGAUAAUCAUAGCUUGUAUACUCCCAAAUCCCAACGAUUUCAUCCUCAAAAAUUUUCAGUCGCGAACCCUUAAAGCUGAAAGCUUGGGUGACUUUGAGGAUGUAUUCCUGGAUUGACUUAAAGUUCUGUUAUUUUAAAUUAUCCUCAGUAGUUUAGGUGUUAACAAUCACGUAGCCUCUUGAGAACUUUGCCAUGAGAUUUUAUUUUUCUGCAAUGAUUCUGUUAUAACAUGCUCCAAGAAGCUUUAUAUCUUAUUUUCACGAAAACUCUGCAAUAAUAUAUGUUGAAAAUCAACAGACUUAUUGGUUUUAUCCAGCUAAAGUUUCUCCCUAGUACUUUCUGUACAUAAAUCAUUUCGGUCAUGUUAAAAUUGUUUCUGAAUUGAGUUAUGAAACAACUGCACGUUUUGUCCGUAGCUGUGGCUGCAAGAGGCGGAAUGGAGACACUACGACCAGCACUGCAACGAGUUUACAUGACGAGAGCUUCUGCAUAUAAAGAUGCACUUAAAAGUUUCAUACAAGGAUAUCAAGAAGGUAUCCAACAAACAAUGGAGAAAACUAAAGACUCGAAAUCUUCCGAAGACACUGAUGCAUCCAAUUCCAAAGGACCAACUUGAGUUCUAAUGGACAAUUUGUGAGUUAUCUUUUGCAAUACCUACUGCAAGAACUUGUUCGAUGUCCUCCCUUGUUUCUUUCGAGUAAUCACAUUAAGGAGUAUCUAUUUCUCAUUUUUGUACAUAACUACGGUGAUAUAAGGAAUGAUAUUUACAUGAACAAUACUCGGGUAUGCUACCAGCUUCUGGGCGCUCUCUUUCUGUUCAUUUUUCCUUUUGAUUAUCUUCUUCUUUCCAACACAUAUUGGUAGAGUGAUUUCAUCUUAUCUAAGUCUUGUGGCAGAAUUACUCGAUACUUAUAUCGGUUAGAAGUAAUAGUCGAAAUAUGCACAAGAUAAUAUUGACACCAUCACUAGUAAUAAGAGGAGAGGGAGGCUGGUUAUUAGCACCUUUGAUCCUUUUGGGUUGCCAGACCUUGGGUAGCUAGUGGCGCUUCGUAAUGGCUUGUGUAUAGUCCAGCGACUCUCUUUGCUUAUCUCAUCCACUAAACUAUCGAGACAAGUUCAGAAUGUUACCUUAGCAGAAACUAGUUUGUUCAGUUACAAGCUUUCUAAUAGUCAAAUUGUGAUAGAAUCUAAAUUGCUCAGACUCUCCAAAAUUGUUGCCGCACCCGUGUCGGAUCCUCCAAAAAUGCACUACUUUUAAAGGAUCCGACACGCCUUCAAUGAUAUUUUUGAAGAGUCCGAGCAACAUUAGGAUAGAAUGAAAUAGAUUAGUGUACUGUUAGUAAAGUUUGAUGGAAAAGGUCUGUGAUUUUUACUUUUGACCUACUUCUUGAGAAUUGAACUUAGAGUUCACAGGUUAGAUUGAUGAGUCUUUUCAACAGUUUUUUCAUAGGAAUCAUCAAAACAUACAAGUAAUAGUAGUACAUUGAACAGAGUGUUGAACAAAAUGAAUUAAGCUGUUUAAACUGUUAGUUGCUUUGAAUAGAUGUCAAAUAGUAUUCCUAAGACACUGUGUCUGUCACUGACAACAGAGUACACUGCCAUCUUAUCAAAGAAACUAAGUCUCCACCAUAUUUCUUCUUGGUGAAGAAGCCCUAGGAUUCU
Molecule: long non-coding RNA, 14391 nt
Filed under: Solanum tuberosum (potato)
Lineage: Eukaryota; Viridiplantae; Streptophyta; Magnoliopsida; Solanales; Solanaceae
Description: long non-coding RNA (STUB_LNC010280)
Source: RNAcentral